RNAcentral lists this small nuclear RNA (137 nucleotides) under Notamacropus eugenii (tammar wallaby). RNAcentral describes it as "U1 spliceosomal RNA (ENSMEUG00000018330.1)". Lineage: Eukaryota; Metazoa; Chordata; Mammalia; Diprotodontia; Macropodidae. The record is from RNAcentral.
AAACUUAGCUGGCGGGGGAGACAUCGUGAUGAAGUUGGUUUUCCCCAGGGUGAGGCUUAGCCAUUGCAAGGCAACUGUGAUGACCCCUCCCAGUUCUCCACAUGUCUAGAAACUUAACUACACAAUUUUUUGGUAAU